Molecule: long non-coding RNA, 1459 nt
Filed under: Vulpes vulpes (red fox)
Lineage: Eukaryota; Metazoa; Chordata; Mammalia; Carnivora; Canidae
Description: lncRNA (ENSVVUG00000027258.1)
Source: RNAcentral
AUGCCCCUACCCUACAGCCACCCCCAACUAGCUGUCAUCUGCUCCAGCUCCGGGUUGGGUAUUUGGAGCUUAGCUCCUUCAGACUCCUUGAAAACCUACCCAGGGGCUCUUGGCCUCACCCCUGGCCAAUCCCACCCAGGGAUGGAAGUUUGGGCAGGGGUGGGAACUUCUUCCUUAUGGUGGGUCCGGGGUUCCUGCUCGACCCUCCCAUCUUCUCCUCUACUUGUUGUCAAUUGGACAGCGUCGCUACCUAUAUGUGCGCAUCUCAGCAACGCCAUCCAGGCUGGAAGCGUCAGCCAAGUUUUCUUCGAAGUGCUCCUUGGAGGUCCCUUUGAAUAUGGCUGUUUUGAAGACAAAACGGCAGGAUUCCUUCCAGAAGGCAUUGAAGGAAGUGGUGUCAAGUGGCCCUGGUGUCAAAUGGCUGUCAACCGAACAGUGAAUGGUAGGGAAGGUGUUUAAAAGGCUUUUUAUGUGUGUCCCCUGCCCCUCCAGCACAAGGACGAGGCUCCCCACUCGCCCCAUCUUUGCCUCUCGUCUCCCACCUUUCCCUGCACCCAAGCACUCCUUGAUCUCAGAACCUGGCUCUGCUGCUGGGAGGUGACAGUGGACUGCCCUACCCUCCUGCCUCUCCCAGGUUGUCCCUUGACCAUCCAUCCUGUCACUUCCUUCCUGGCCUUCGGGGUCACUUUGUCCACAACAUCCACACUUCCAGUGUCUCCUGUAGGAAUUGAGCAUUUUAACCCAUCAGAUGGGGCUCAGGCUCUGCUCUCUGACAUCGUUGCUCCCUCCGGGCUCUAUGAGCGUCCCUUAACCCUUGAGGACGCUGCAGAAUCCAGGAUCCUGAAAAGAACAUGGGCUUGGGGUCAGAAAGAUCUGGGUUUGAAACUGGUUCCUUGAACUCACUAGCUGUGUGUCUUUGGGCAAGUCACUCAACCUCUCUGAGCCUGUCUCCUCAUUUGAAAUGUGGAGAUUUGGAGAGUCCUCCUGGGGGUUAACAUGCUCAUGGACCAGAUCCAUUUCCUACACAUCCUGAGUGCUCAAGCCAUGGCAGUCCUUCACCCUGUCUGCCCACCUCCCCCAUCCCCUUCCUAGGUGUGGAGAAGAGGAAGACGCUGGACUGGCUGGCUCCGGUGCGGGGCUGCCUGGCAGACAGGAGAGGCUUCAGCCCCAGAGUGCAAAGAGUCCUGUGAGUCUUCGCCUCACUGCAAGGAGCAGCGCAAUCCAGGGGGCCCCUAGGGUGGAGGUGGGGGUAGGGGUAAGAAUUGCGGUCAAGGAUGUCAUCCUUCUGAGCCAGGAGCUGUCAUUAGUUGUUCUGGCCCAUAAUUGGGCUGUAACUACCCUCUGACCCAAGAUGAGUUUGGGGACCGUGAUUAUCUGUGAUUAGUCUCUUCGUGCCUUAGAAUGCUGAUUCCACACUGUCUCCUUCCCACCCCCUACCCCAGCCCUUCUAGAAGGGCCU